AUCUCUUGGUCUAAUGGUUAAGAGGGAGGUGAGAAGCUUUGCUUCUUUUGGAGGUCCUUGGUUCAAACCCAGGCAAGGGGUG
This 82-nucleotide transfer RNA is filed under the name Helianthus annuus (common sunflower). RNAcentral describes it as "tRNA HanXRQr2_Chr09g0388291". The record is from RNAcentral. Lineage: Eukaryota; Viridiplantae; Streptophyta; Magnoliopsida; Asterales; Asteraceae.